GUCGGUGUAAAAGAUUUGUAUACGUUUCAGACUUAUCGUCUUAAUGAUCACUUUGGGCAGGGAUAGUAUUACAUUGUGUGAAUUUCACACUAGGAGGCAACAAAAAUGGAACAAGGUACAGUAAAAUGGUUUAAUGCAGAAAAAGGUUUUGGUUUUAUCGAGCGUGAAAAUGGGGACGAUGUAUUCGUACAUUUCUCAGCAAUCCAAAGUGAAGGCUUCAAAUCUUUAGACGAAGGUCAAAAAGUUACUUUCGACGUUGAGCAAGGCGCUCGUGGAGCUCAAGCUUCAAACGUUCAAAAAGCAUAAUUUAACCUUUCAACAGACUCUACAUUGUAGAGUCUGUUUUU
This 347-nucleotide non-coding RNA is filed under the name Paenisporosarcina sp. HGH0030. RNAcentral's name for it is "cspA thermoregulator". It matches the Rfam family "cspA thermoregulator", at positions 91 to 428 of the family's 428-position model. The record is from Rfam by way of RNAcentral. Lineage: Bacteria; Bacillati; Bacillota; Bacilli; Caryophanales; Caryophanaceae.